RNAcentral lists this ribosomal RNA (261 nucleotides) under uncultured bacterium. RNAcentral's name for it is "partial 16S ribosomal RNA". It matches the Rfam family "Bacterial small subunit ribosomal RNA", at positions 793 to 1055 of the family's 1533-position model. The record is from RNAcentral.
GUCCACGCGGUAAACGAUGCGGACUGGGCGUGGGGGACUUGACCCCCUCCGUGCCGGAGCUAACGCGGUAAGUCCGCCGCCUGGGGAGUACGGCCGCAAGGCUAAAACUCAAAGGAAUUGACGGGGGCCCGCACAAGCGGCGGAGCGUGCGGUUUAAUUCGACGCGACGCGCAGAACCUUACCAGGGUUUGACAUGCGCCUGCAGAGCCGGGAAACCGGUUGGCUUUUGAAGGUGGCGCACAGGUGCUGCAUGGCUGUCGU